Molecule: ribosomal RNA, 252 nt
Filed under: Megamonas funiformis YIT 11815
Lineage: Bacteria; Bacillati; Bacillota; Negativicutes; Selenomonadales; Selenomonadaceae
Description: partial 16S ribosomal RNA
Rfam family: Bacterial small subunit ribosomal RNA
Source: RNAcentral
UACGUAGGCGGCAAGCGUUGUCCGGAAUUAUUGGGCGUAAAGGGAGCGCAGGCGGGAAAUUAAGCGGAUCUUAAAAGUGCGGGGCUCAACCCCGUGAUGGGGUCCGAACUGGUUUUCUUGAGUGCAGGAGAGGAAAGCGGAAUUCCCAGUGUAGCGGUGAAAUGCGUAGAUAUUGGGAAGAACACCAGUGGCGAAGGCGGCUUUCUGGACUGUAACUGACGCUGAGGCUCGAAAGCUAGGGUAGCGAACGGG